This 254-nucleotide ribosomal RNA is filed under the name uncultured bacterium. RNAcentral's name for it is "partial 16S ribosomal RNA". It matches the Rfam family "Bacterial small subunit ribosomal RNA", at positions 524 to 776 of the family's 1533-position model. The record is from RNAcentral.
UACGAAGGGGGCUAGCGUUGCUCGGAAUUACUGGGCGUAAAGGGCGCGUAGGCGGCCUGCUAAGUCGGACGUGAAAUCCCUCGGCUCAACCGGGGAACUGCGUCCGAUACUGGCGAGGCUUGAAUCCGGGAGAGGGAUGUGGAAUUCCAGGUGUAGCGGUGAAAUGCGUAGAUAUCGUCAAGAACACCGAUAGCGAAGGCAGCUUACUGGGCUGUAACUGACGCUGAGGCACGAAAGUGUGGGGAUCAAACAGG